ACUCCGCCUCCCUCCAAAGUCCCACCGCUUCCUCCUGGCUGACCUUUGACGCCCCGCUCCUCCCCUGACGCAUGCGGUGGGAAAGUGAAGGUAGAGGCAGAGGACUAAUGGAGUCCGAGUCAGAGGCACCGUGUGUCUACGUUUAUUAGGAGCAUUCAAAGAUUACUGAAGAAAAGUCAAACUAUGGCAGAAAGUUUAUCAACUUGGCCUAUGAACUGUUCAGCUCCAACUGACUUGUGCCGCCCUGGGACUGUGGAACGAGCUGUGCCUUUACGCUGCACUUUUUCUAAGCUGGACAAGUUGGCUACAUCUCCGCCAUUGUGUCAGAGACGUUGGCCUGCGCUGAGGGGGAUGGGAGACUGCGGUCUCAGCGCUGAGGAUGGCCUGCAGAGGAUGCAACAACUGUUUCUGUUACUCAUCACUGACUGGUAGGAGCUGGUUUCACUCUCUCAUUGUUGUGUGACAGUUAUGAGAUUAUACAAAAAGUGUUUGUCAUGUCUCAAGCCUCUGGCGAAAGGGGUUACAUAAGAAAACCUGAGGAGUGCAUCGGUUUAAUUGGACAACUGAAAGUACACCGAUCCGAUCAGAUAUAUCAAUAUUCUGAUCACUGACAGGAGAAGUAAAUAGCCGUCUUGUGACAAUUCAAUGUUCUGCUGGCAAACUUUUAGACCUGACACUUGUUUGGAUGUUAGUUAGGCGCGUACCACAAACUUAGACCAGACCAGGCCCCCCGCACACCC
Molecule: long non-coding RNA, 740 nt
Organism: Mugil cephalus (flathead mullet)
Lineage: Eukaryota; Metazoa; Chordata; Actinopteri; Mugiliformes; Mugilidae
Exons: 3
Source: RefSeq, a predicted model, not a curated record